UACGGAGGGUGCGAGCGUUAAUCGGAAUUACUGGGCGUAAAGGGUGCGUAGGUGGUUGUGUAAGUUAUCUGUGAAAGCCCUGGGCUCAACCUGGGAAUGCCAGAUAGUACUGCACGACUUGAGUAUUGGAGAGGGUAGUGGAAUUUCCGGUGUAGCGGUGAAAUGCGUAGAGAUCGGAAGGAACACCAGUGGCGAAGGCGGCUACCUGGCCAAAUACUGACACUGAGGCACGAAAGCGUGGGGAGCAAACAGG
RNAcentral lists this ribosomal RNA (253 nucleotides) under uncultured bacterium. Its description in RNAcentral is "partial 16S ribosomal RNA". It matches the Rfam family "Bacterial small subunit ribosomal RNA", at positions 524 to 776 of the family's 1533-position model. The record is from RNAcentral.